RNAcentral lists this ribosomal RNA (440 nucleotides) under uncultured bacterium. Its description in RNAcentral is "partial 16S ribosomal RNA". It matches the Rfam family "Bacterial small subunit ribosomal RNA", at positions 338 to 795 of the family's 1533-position model. The record is from RNAcentral.
CCUACGGGCGGCAGCAGUGGGGAAUAUUGCACAAUGGGGGAAACCCUGAUGCAGCGAUGCCGCGUGGAGGAAGAAGGUUUUCGGAUUGUAAACUCCUUUUAUCAGGGACGAUAAUGACGGUACCUGAAGAAAAAGCUCCGGCUAACUACGUGCCAGCAGCCGCGGUAAUACGUAGGGAGCGAGCGUUGUCCGGAAUUACUGGGUGUAAAGGGAGCGUAGGCGGGACGGCAAGUCAGAUGUGAAAACUGAGGGCUCAACUUUCAGAAUGCAUUUGAAACUGCUGUUCUUGAGUGAAGUAGAGGAAGGGGGAAGUCCUAGGGUAGGGGGGAAAGGGGUAGAUAUUAGGAGGAACAUCGGGGGCGAGGGCGAUUUACUGGGCUUUUACUGACGCGGAGGUUCGAAAGGGUGGGGAGCAAACGGGAUUAGAGACCCGAGAAGUC